RNAcentral lists this ribosomal RNA (487 nucleotides) under uncultured cyanobacterium. RNAcentral describes it as "bacterial SSU rRNA". It matches the Rfam family "Bacterial small subunit ribosomal RNA", at positions 1047 to 1533 of the family's 1533-position model. The record is from RNAcentral. Lineage: Bacteria; Bacillati; Cyanobacteriota.
GGCUGUCGUCAGCUCGUGUCGUGAGAUGUUGGGUUAAGUCCCGCAACGAGCGCAACCCACGUCUUUAGUUGCCAGCAUUAAGUUGGGCACUCUAGAGAGACUGCCGGUGAUAAACCGGAGGAAGGUGUGGAUGACGUCAAGUCAUCAUGCCCCUUACAUCCUGGGCUACACACGUACUACAAUGCUACGGACAAAGGGCAGCAAACUCGCGAGAGCUAGCAAAUCCCAUAAACCGUGGCUCAGUUCAGAUCGUAGGCUGCAACUCGCCUACGUGAAGGAGGAAUCGCUAGUAAUCGCAGGUCAGCAUACUGCGGUGAGUACGUUCCCGGGCCUUGUACACACCGCCCGUCACACCAUGGAAGUUGGCCACGCCCGAAGUCGUUACUCCAACCCGCAAGGGAGGAGGAUGCCGAAGGUGGGGCUGAUGACUGGGGUGAAGUCGUAACAAGGUAGCCGUACCGGAAGGUGCGGCUGGAUCACCUCCUAA